Molecule: long non-coding RNA, 339 nt
Organism: Gasterosteus aculeatus aculeatus (three-spined stickleback)
Lineage: Eukaryota; Metazoa; Chordata; Actinopteri; Perciformes; Gasterosteidae
Source: Ensembl
CGAGCCGCGGGGACGAGCAGCUCGACCCCUGCUGCGCUCGAGCCCCCAGGUGUGCCACGGCGCGUGGAGUACAAGCAGGCCCCACAGAGGAGGGAAGGACCUGAGGAAGAGUGGACGCAUUGUCAGAAAAGCCUGAUAAAAGAGAGGAGCCAAACAAAGACACUUAACCUGAGUAACCUGAAGCACAAUUGGCUCUCAGAGUUGCAGCAAGUUAUGCAAAUUUGUCUCUGCUGUCUUUCAAACACGCCGAAUGUGAGUUUUGGAAGCCAAAUCCACCAGAAGAUGAAAUCUUUGUUCAUGUUGCAUUAAGUCUCAACUUCUCUUUGAGCUCUAUGUUUG